Leopardus geoffroyi (Geoffroy's cat) is the source of this 386-nucleotide long non-coding RNA. RefSeq lists it as uncharacterized. The record is from RefSeq and is a predicted model, not a curated record. NCBI's taxonomy places the organism in Eukaryota, Metazoa, Chordata, Mammalia, Carnivora, Felidae. The transcript has 2 exons.
GAUCGUGACCUGAGCCAAAGUCAGACGCUUAACCGCCUAGCCACCCAGGACUCCUGCCUUGGUGUGAGUCCCUUUGACUGUGGUUCCACCUGGCCCUCAGGCUUGGUUGGCUGCUUAUUCCUGAUGAACUGCCCCUCUGUUCUGGAUAAUGCCAUUCCUAGCCCUACUAAGCUAAGGACUACUUGUUGCUGAUUGCUAUGCCUUCCAACCACUCUGAAAAUCCCAGUGGCCAGUUUUCCUCUGUCACCCUUUCUAAAGCUGUAACUGUCACCAACCUCCCUAGCUGGCAAGGAGUAUAAAUGUCAUUGUCAGAAAUCACAAUCUAGCUCAAGGAGUAAGGCCAUUUUGGGAAUUUUCUACAUAAUAAAAAUUAAAUCUACUCUUAA